GACGAACGCUGGCGGCGUGCUUAACACAUGCAAGUCGAACGGAAAGGCCCUGCUUUUGUGGGGUGCUCGAGUGGCGAACGGGUGAGUAACACGUGAGUAACCUGCCCUUGACUUUGGGAUAACUUCAGGCAACUGGGGCUAAUACCGGCUAGGUGCUCCUGCUGCAUGGUGGGGGUUGGAAAGUUUAGGCGGAUGGGGAUGGACUCGCGGGUUAUCAGCUUGUUGGUGGGGGAGUGGCUUACCAAGGCUUUGACGGGUAGCCGGCCUGAGAGGGUGACCGGCGACAUGGGGACUGAGAGACGGCGCAGACUCCUACGGGAGGCAGCAGUGGGGAAUAUUGCACAAUGGGCGGAAGCCUGAUGCAGCAACGCCGCGUGCGUGAUGACGGCCUUCGGGUUGUAAACCGCUUUCGCCUGUGACGAAGCGUGAGUGACGGUAAUGGGUAAAGAAGCACCGGCUAACUACGUG
Molecule: ribosomal RNA, 468 nt
Filed under: uncultured bacterium
Lineage: Bacteria
Description: partial 16S ribosomal RNA
Rfam family: Bacterial small subunit ribosomal RNA
Source: RNAcentral